GCGUUUUUUACCACGACUGCCGGCUUUUCUCUCUCUCCCUUCCUCCCUUUCGCUCUCCCCCUUCUUUUUUUUCUGAAUGGGUGUCCUCUCUCUAACCUCUCAAUUCACAGCAGCAUUGAAACAGGACACUAUCCUGAUCACUGAUAGGCUGCGGGCAAAUCGCUCAGCCCCUGAACCGGACACUAUAAGUACUCUGGUAGUCCGUCUCCAGUGUAUGACUGACUGUUUAGUGUGAGAGAGAGUAGGAGGGGGUGGUAGAGAGUUUAAAUUCAGUGACAGUGAUAACAAUGAUAUUAUUCGUUCUCCGCUGAAACGGGGAAGCACUUUCAGAGUCUACGGCGUGCUUCCUCUGUCUCUAUCGCUUUAAGACUGUUACUGAUUAGUCGCUAAAGAAUGCGAGUGGAAAGAGAGAGAAAAAAAAAGAGACAUAGGCAGAAGGGAGAGACAGACUGAGAGCAUUGGAGUCUGGAACUCGUAUGGAGAAGACUGAUAAUACUGAGCUGAGUAGAGUUUUGUUUUUUAUUUUCCAGCAGUACAGAGACGUUAAUGGAGCUCUGACUCUCUUUCGGUGUAUUUGCGGCUCUUGAAGAGGCUGAACGAAGGGGGAAGUCAAGGACCCCGCACAUGCAGGCAGCGCUCAGCCAUGAGGAAAUACUCUUUUCACCCAGACAGAGGUUAUCCAGACAGGCUCAAUCUAUUCAGAUCACAUGAUGCUUCAUUUCAAUAUAGGUCAUUCAUGUGAAGUCGCAGACUGGGGUUUCUCCUUAGGAGCAGACAAUAGUGUUGCAGCAGGAAACACAUAUCUCCCUCGAGAGCUUCACGGCAUGCUCCCUCACCCUGAUGUAGCGCCACACACAAGAAAAUAAAAAAAUGGAGCAAAUUAGGAAGAGUUAAUAGGGUGGUAGAUGCAUGUAUAUUUAUAAUUUUAUCACAUUAAUUGUUUAGUUUACUUAAAGCAUGGCUUUUGGGAUUUACGUCUUUAAAUAGUGUCCGUUCGUGCAUUUAAUUUUCAGAGCCCAUUGUUGGUGCUGCCAGAAAAAAUACAAUAGUAAUGUAAAUGGAACAGAAUGAAACAAUAUAGCUGUCAACAUCAGCUGUCACUCUGCAAAUGAAACAGCAAAUUUUGACAGAGUUUUUAAUCCCUAGAAUCCAAAGCACUUUACGGUCAACAAAGCAGACAGUCAGUAUUUCAUUUAAACCGCAUAAUCAUAACUCUAGCAUAGCAUAAACUAAGCCCACGUUUACAAGACACAACAACACAGAGAUCCAUUCUACAAGCACCAUUCUAUUAAGGCCACUCUCACAUGACAGUUCACUGCUCACUAAAUGGCCUUAACUGUUUCAAAAACACUCUCUUAGAAAAGGGUACUGUGUCCGUACCAUGGUACAGUGAUAGAUAGAUCUUGUCAUUCUUUGAAAUAUGGGUCAAUGGUGUGACGCUCAUUUUUUGUUUUUAUCUUUAAUUUAUUUUUUUUGUGUGUCUACACUACUGUUUAGAUUUGUAUUUUUUUUUAAGUCUGUUUUGUUCUCCAAGGCUGCAUUUACAUGAUCAAAAAAUACAUUAAAACAGUAAUAUUAAUAUAUUAGUGAAAUAAUAGUGAAAUGUUAAUAUAUUUUAAAAUGUAGUUUAUUCCUGUGAUGACAAAGCUGAAUUUUAGUAGUCAUUUAGUAACUCCAGUCUUCACUAUCACAUGAUCCUUCAGAAAUUAUUCUAAUAUGCUGAUUUGGUGCUCAAGAAACCCUUCUUAUAACAGCUUAGCUGCUUAAUAUUUUUGUGGAAACAAAAGAUACGUUUUUUCCAGGAUUCUUUAAUGAAUAGAAAAUUUUAAAAGAAAAUUUAUAAUUUGUUUGGAAUAGAAUUAGUAACAAUGUAAUGUCUUUUACCAUUCUGGAAUCAAACAGACACAAUUAGUCCAUCCUUGUUCGAUAAAAACCAUCAGUAGUUCUCUGACAUCAUGCAGUCACUGUCCCAUGGACUAAUCAGACUACUUACAGAGGGCCGAACACUGACAGUGAGCAGGGACAGAGCAUUGGAAUUCAGGUUAGGAAUGAACUCCCUAAUGGAGAAAAAUUGGAGUCAAGUGACCAUCAGCUGGUCGAAGUAUGUUUGAUCAAUACAGUCACAAGGUCUCAGGUAUGCAGAGCUGGAGCCUUUACAGGAGGGUGCAAAGACGGCCUACAGUGUCUGCAUGCUCCUGUCAGUCAAGCUUUAUUAUUAACCAGUACAAUAUUCUUUUACAUAAAUUGCCUUAAACGCUCAGCAUCCUUGCCAACAGGAAGUAUUUAGCACUAUAUGUGAGUCACUCUCUUUUGUUUGUCUAGCUGAGGAUGAUUUAAUUAGUCACCGACCCAAUCAAAGUGCACCUUUGGUGGCAAACAAGCACCCACUUUUAAUUAAUAAGACUUGAAUUGAGUGCUCUGAAUGAUGUAGCCUAAUGCGUGCCAAACCACUAAGUGGAUUCGAGAAAUAAUAGUCGCAAAACCAGGCUUACAUUUUCAUGAUAUCUAACAGCCUUAACACAAUACUCUGGUCAAACAAAGGUUUAUGGUACUGUUUGUUAUGAGAAAAAAAGCACAAAGCAGGUCUGGUUAGGUUAAAAGGGUGUGAUAUGAGCACCUUUAAAACGGGUCGGAGCCAUAGCCUCUGUCUGCCUGUCUCCAGGCUAAUGGGAAAGAAUGAGAAAUAUUUGCGAGAGUGCUAACGCCAUGCUUAAAAAUGCCCAUCGGGAGAUUAGCUCCCCCUCCCCUGUGCUGCCUGUCUGUGUGCUGCAAGCAAAAAGGAGGGCUUUUGUCGUCCUCUGGAGUUGCAGACACUUUGAUAUGGGGUUGUCUAACCAUUUGCUUCUUUGUCUCUGUCUUCCUCAGGCACUGAGGACAGCUCAAGUGGACUGCCGCUGCCAGUGGCUUGUUAGGGUGCUUAUGAGGUGCUCAGUAGUCAGUGUAGAUCCUGUGUUGCAAUCAGCAGCUACAUCUGGCUACUGGGUCUCUGAUGGCAUUUGCUGCUUCCUGUUGGCACAUUCCUUUCAGAUUGUGUGGUAUGUUAUCACAAUGUGUGCCUCAUCCUGUCAGAACAGGACUCGCUCUUUCAUGGAUGUUAAAGAGGGCCCUUGUCACAACAGCUGGUCUCUUCGACCAGACAGAUUUGGUGGUGUUUCUGCACCUUUAGCCUAGUUCAUUGUUGAUGGGGUUUUUUUUUCUUCGUUUUUUUCCUCGAAAAUGUUUUAUCAAGGUGAGUGAACUGUCAAAGUGUAGUUUGUCUCGAGAAACCAUUUCAGACAUCUUUGAAAGGAAGGACUGAGACAUUGUUUCUCGUUUGACUGCUGAAGAUUCAGUUUAAGUGAUUAGGUAACAAAGGACAAGGCAACAUGUCACAUUCUCUUUGUGAUUUGCCUGUCACAAGGGGCUGUCUUUGUGCAAAUGUUUUUGAGUUGUUGAAGGCUGACAAAUAAUGAGAGUUAGACAUGCUGAAUCACAUUGCUUUCGGAGAGCGAAGGAUGAAUUCUUUUGUGCUGUCGUGAACCUGGCAUACAAUGUAGAUUUCUGUGUGGUACAAUCUACAGCUACAUUGUCUGCUGGGUUUCAGGCCAGCGGAAAUAUUCUGCUCUGCUUAGAAAUCAAAAAGGUGAGUCGUUAAGUCGUUAUGCAUGCUUGAAAAAGACUUAUUCCUAUCAUGAGAAUUAAAUAAUAAAAGUGCUGAAAGUAUAAAAACUAUGAUGUCCAAUUAUUUCUCCUCGUGUUUAUUCUUACCGUGGGUUCAGCUUGAUAUUCGGAAGGCUGCACGGAUUCUGUCCAAUGACAGACUGUCAAAUUUCACCAGGGAUUAAAAAGGCAUCCAAGAUAUUUCAGCCGUACACCCAGAAGAGCUUCUUAUCACUAUUUCCCAUCUGCGUCUGAAUACAACCACCCACAACACACACACACACACACACACACACACA
Cyprinus carpio carpio is the source of this 3938-nucleotide long non-coding RNA. Lineage: Eukaryota; Metazoa; Chordata; Actinopteri; Cypriniformes; Cyprinidae. The record is from Ensembl.